This 464-nucleotide ribosomal RNA is filed under the name uncultured bacterium. RNAcentral's name for it is "partial 16S ribosomal RNA". It matches the Rfam family "Bacterial small subunit ribosomal RNA", at positions 339 to 795 of the family's 1533-position model. The record is from RNAcentral.
CUACGGGCGGCUCCAGUGGGGAAUAUUGCACAAUGGGCGCAAGCCUGAUGCAGCCAUGCCGCGUGUAUGAAGAAGGCCUUCGGGUUGUAAAGUACUUUCAGCGGGGAGGAAGGGAGUAAAGUUAAUACCUUUGCUCAUUGACGUUACCCGCAGAAGAAGCACCGGCUAACUCCGUGCCAGCAGCCGCGGUAAUACGGAGGGUGCAAGCGUUAAUCGGAAUUACUGGGCGUAAAGCGCACGCAGGCGGUUUGUUAAGUCAGAUGUGAAAUCCCCGGGCUCAACCUGGGAACUGCAUCUGAUACUGGCAAGCUUGAGCCUCGUAGAGGGGGGUAGAAUUCCAGGUGUAGCGGUGAAAUGCGUAGAGAUCUGGAGGAAUACCGGUGGCGAAGGCGGCCCCCUGGACGAAGACUGACGCUCAGGUGCGAAAGCGAGGGGAGCAAACAGGAUUAGAUACCCCAGUAGUC